GUCCCCAUCUCGCUAGCGGCCCAGGCGGCCGGAUUUUCGCUCCGGAGACGCGGGUUCGAAUCCCGCUGGGGACACCG
This 77-nucleotide transfer RNA is filed under the name Sorangium cellulosum. RNAcentral describes it as "tRNA-Glu". It matches the Rfam family "tRNA". Rfam says of the family: Transfer RNA (tRNA) molecules are approximately 80 nucleotides in length. Their secondary structure includes four short double-helical elements and three loops (D, anti-codon, and T loops). The record is from RNAcentral. Lineage: Bacteria; Pseudomonadati; Myxococcota; Polyangiales; Polyangiaceae.